UAUUCCAAUUCUCUUUCCAGUCAUUUUUAGAGCUGCUAUACCAGUGUAUCUCAGGUACUGGAUCAAUGGGUUUCAAUUGGUGGGUGUUGGUUCAAUGCAGUGCUCUAUAUGGAUACAGUAAUGAUGGAGUCUGGAAUGAUGAUUUUAAAAUUAAUGCACAAUGGACGAUAAUUAAAGACAUUAUUAACAAAACAUUAAACUCAGAUGAAGGUGAAUUAGCUCAUCGCUGGUCCAUUAAUUGCUGUAAUUAUAUUUAUAAUAACUGGAGUCCUUUCAAUGCUUAUCCUAUUAUUAUUGCGUGGGAAUAUUACCUGAAGAACGUGAAUAACUAGUUUGUUAUUUCUGAUUUUGAAAUUAAAAGGCUACUGAUAUGAGAGAGUGGUUAUAAAGACAUUCUUGAGGCAAUUGGAUCAAGUGAAGAAUUAACAUCAUCAUCAUCAUCAUCAUCAUCAUCAUCAUCAUCAUCUAGCUGAGUCCUGAUCUCUACCUCCUCCU
Molecule: long non-coding RNA, 495 nt
Organism: Amphimedon queenslandica
Lineage: Eukaryota; Metazoa; Porifera; Demospongiae; Haplosclerida; Niphatidae
Exons: 4
Source: RefSeq, a predicted model, not a curated record